AUGUACAGGACCACUUCCAUGAAGCACCAAGGUUUGGUGAGGCUGAAAUGCCAGAUAGUGCAGGUGUCCCCUUCCAGUACUUCAGGGUUCUGCACAACUGGGCUUCCCAGCGAUGUUGUCGUUCAGGUUGGGGAGAUGUCUUUCCACCUCCACAAGUUCCCUCUGCUUUCAAAGAGUGCCAUCUUGGGAAGGUUGAUUGAGGAGAAUUCAGACCAAGACGAAUGUACCAUCAAACUAUCCGACAUCCCUGGAGGUGCAAAAUCAUUCGAGUUAGUGGCAAGGUUCUGUUAUGGUUUGAAGAUAGAGCUCUCUCCAGCAAAUAUUGUCCACCUUCGAUGCGCCGCUGAAUAUCUCGAGAUGACAGAAGAAAUAGCUCAGGAUAACCUCAUCCACCAGGCAGAAAUGUUCUUUAACCAAGUAGUUCUCCGCAGCUGGAAAGAUUCCCUGGAAGCACUCAAGACAUGUGAUGUCCUUCUCCCUCAUGCCGAAGACCUUCACAUUGCGAAGAGGUGCGUCGAAUCGUUGGCCGCCAAGGCUAGCAUAGAUCCAGACCUCUUUGGCUGGCCAGUAUCAGAGCACGGUGCGAUGCAUAGCCCCGGGGGCAGUGUAUUGUGGAAUGGUAUUAGCACGGGCGCAAAGCUCGGGAACUUCAGCUCAGAUUGGUGGUAUGGUGAUGCUUCAUCAUUGAGCUUCCCUACAUACAAGAGGCUUAUCUCCACUAUGGAGUCAAGAGGUGCCAAGGAGGAGAUUGUCGCUGGUUCGCUCACAUACUAUGCCAAGAAGUGUCUCCCAGGACUGAAUAGGCGUCAAAGCAUGGGACCGGUGCCCCUGACUUCUGCUGCUGCUACCCUAUCUGAGGAGGAACAGAGGCAUUUGCUUGAGGACAUUGACAGGAUGCUGCCUCUUCAGAGAGGCCUGAUAUCCACAAAUGUUUUGCUCUGGCUGCUUCGAACUGCCAUGAUUCUGAAAGUCAACCGUGCUUGCAUUUCCAAUUUGGAGAAAAGGGUCGGCAUGCAAUUAGAUGAAGCCACACUGGAGGAUCUACUGCUACCUAACUUCUCGUACACAAUGGACACACUCUACAAUGUCGAAUGUGUGCGCAGGAUCCUUGAUCACUUCUUGGCAAUGGACCAGACCAUGGGUGGUGGCUCCCCGUGCUUGGAUGAUGUGAUGGGUUCUCCUUCACUGGCGCCGAUCACCGCUGUCGCUAAGCUGAUUGAUGGCUACCUUGCAGAGAUUGCACCAGAUAUCAACCUGAAGCCACCGAAAUUUGAAUCUCUUGCAACUGCUUUGCCUGAAUAUGCCCGGCCUCUAGACGAUGGACUUUACCGCGCCAUUGAUGUAUACUUGAAGGCGCAUUCUUGUCUGCCGGAAUCCGAGCGCGAGCAUCUCUGCCGGCUGAUCGACUGCCAGAAGCUGUCCCUGGAGGCAUGCACCCACGCCGCGCAGAACGAGCGCCUGCCGCUGCGUGUGGUGGUGCAGGUCCUCUUCUUCGAGCAGCUCCAGCUGCGGACAUCCAUCGCCGGGUGCCUGAUGGUCUCCGACAACCUGGAAGGAUCCUCACGCCCCCUCCACGGCAGUGGCACCAUCGCGACGUCCGGCGAAGCCGGUGCCCGCUGGGUCACGUCGGCGGCGGUGAGGGAGAACCAGGCGCUCAGGGCCGGCAUGGACAGCAUGCGGCUGCGGCUGGCGGAGCUGGAGAGGGAGUGCUCCGGCAUGCGGCAGGACAUCCGGAAGUUCGGUGGCGCCCCGGGGAAGGACGGCUGGGCGGCGCGGGUCCAGCGGAUGUUCAGCCUGAAGAUGAAGCUGCAGAUGUGCAGCACCGAGGAGGGGAAGAUGAGCGACCGGCACAGGACUGCCAGCGCCAAGCUGGAGAAGCUGCAGGCCAAGGUGUCCAGUCACAAGAAGCACCUCACCAUUGAUGCAUGA
RNAcentral lists this ribosomal RNA (1929 nucleotides) under Triticum aestivum (bread wheat). RNAcentral describes it as "partial small subunit ribosomal RNA". Lineage: Eukaryota; Viridiplantae; Streptophyta; Magnoliopsida; Poales; Poaceae. The record is from RNAcentral.